UACGUAGGGUGCGAGCGUUAAUCGGAAUUACUGGGCGUAAAGCGUGCGCAGGCGGUUUUGUAAGCCAGAUGGGAAAGCCCCGGGCUCAACCUGGGAAUGGCAUUUGGGACUGCAAGGCUGGAGUUUGGCAGAGGAGACUGGAAUUCCUGGUGUAGCAGUGAAAUGCGUAGAUAUCAGGAGGAAUACCGAUGGCGAAGGCAGGUCUCUGGGCUAUAACUGACGCUCAUGCACGAAAGCGUGGGGAGCAAACAGG
This 253-nucleotide ribosomal RNA is filed under the name uncultured bacterium. Its description in RNAcentral is "partial 16S ribosomal RNA". It matches the Rfam family "Bacterial small subunit ribosomal RNA", at positions 524 to 776 of the family's 1533-position model. The record is from RNAcentral.